Molecule: long non-coding RNA, 1269 nt
Organism: Andrographis paniculata
Lineage: Eukaryota; Viridiplantae; Streptophyta; Magnoliopsida; Lamiales; Acanthaceae
Exons: 2
Source: RefSeq, a predicted model, not a curated record
CCCGCCGCUCCCUCUCCCAACUCUCUUCUCCCUCCCCCUUUCUUCUUCCUUCCUUCAUCGUUCUUUUCUUCCUCCUCCAAUUUAUGUAUGCAUGUAAAGGCAAGUGAUGUACGCUUCUGAGUGGAAUGCUCGAUUCGAUUCUUUUGAUUAGAGUAUGAUGACGCUCAUCUGAAUAGGAAGAUCUGAUGCCUAUGCAACUUUCUUUAUAAUCAUUCUAUUUGUUCGUAUCCUUGUUUUGUCCGGAAUGCUUUGUUUCUCCAUUUUUACGAUAAUGGAGGCAAUCGAUGCUAGCUAUUUCGAAGCCAAUGAUGCUAACUUUGAUCGAAUCUGAAAAUCACAACUCUUGUAUUAUAUGUUGAUUGCAUUUGAACUAGGACGGACUGAGGCUUCGGUUUUGUGGUUGUUUAGGUUUUCACUUUAAUUGUUCCUCUUUACCAUCUGUAUGUAGCCUUGGUUAGGUACUUGUGGAUUCUGAAUAUUGUUUGUUUGCUUUAUGGUGUGUAGAUGUCAUCCUGGAGUGAUGAGAUCAACAAAUUACAGUUAUCCCUGUCUGAUUAACUGUGUUGAAAAGUUGUGAUCUGACAAGGAAUCCAUCAUUGUUGUACCCAUGGUUAUUUUGAUAGCUUAACCUUGUUUCAAAGGUUGAAGUUAUUCUGCUGGAGCCUGAAUAAUUUCUGAGUAACCAAAUUAAAGUUCUUGGAUAUUUUUUGGAGAUUAUGUUUUCAUAUGGAGAUGGAUGUGUGGCCCCACUUACGUUCGAUUCCUUUAUUUUCAAUCGACAUUUUGUUCUGAAGGUAUCCGUAAUGGUGAGUUAAUUGAUCAUAUGUUUAUUCUUGUUUGUCCUAAUAGAUAUUCCCUCCGUCCCAAUAUGAUAGUCUUGUUUACUAUUUUUGUCCGUCCCAAAACAAUAGUCUUGUUUCCACGAAUAAUUAUAUCAUUGUAAAACUACUUCUACUUUUUCAUUUUUAUUACAUAAUUGUUAUUACGUUUUACACUAAUACACUCACAAGGGCAAAAAUGUCUUUUAUUCAUAUUUUUUACCAAUUAUUCAUAUAAUAUCAAUAUUUUUUAAAUCUCUUGUCUAACUCAAUUAAGAAUAUAUUUAUGGGACGGAGGGAGUAUUUGAUUGGUAUAUUCCUUGCAUUUCAUCUUAGGGUUUUUAAAAUAUUGCACCGCAUUGGGUUUUAUAGGUUAUAUAAAGUUGGACAUGUUAAGGACGACUAUGAUCUUCUUUCAAUUGACAUCCUAAAAUAUAUAUUUUUUAUUUUA